GUGCAGAAAGGAUUCAGGAAGACCUGCAAAACAUACAAAAACAAACGGCGCGAUCCUCAAGAGACAAGAAGAGAACAGAAGAGAAGAGAAAAUAAAGAAAGAAACAAUGCAAAGAAGUUACUCCAGUAGUGCCGAAAAAAAGGAAAAAGAAGGAGGACAGAAGAAAGCUGAUACCACCGAAAAAGUUUUUUUUUCACAGGCGGCAGCAGCGGAGUAAGUAACGCGUUGUCGACACCCAUUAAGGAGGGUUAGUCGCGUGGGGAUGAAAAACGACUAGUGAGUAAUUUAUUUUUUCCUGCAUUGAAAAGUAUUCUGUUAGGUUAUGCAUUAACCCUAACCUUUACCUGUGGCCAUAGCGCCGGCGCUAUGCUUUCAAUGGCCUGAGUUUUAUUACCGUAACUUCGUCAAAGUUUGUCCAGUCAGGAAAAUUUUCAACGGUGUUGGAAAGCUGAGAGUUGUGGGCAUGCGCACAUGUAUUAUUCACUACGGUAGUUGUAACCAUAGAUAUAUAAAUAAACGCUCGAUGGAUUACGACGCUUUUAGCCAAUGGAGAGCGACACCCGCGCAUGGCGGCCAUCUUGCUUCAGGCAGGCCGCCUACUCAUAACAUUACAGUCUACGGUGCAUGUAGCAUUUAAAUAACCAUACAUUGCUUAAUUUUCAAACGAUUUUCAAACGCUUUAGUUUGUAACAAACCUCGGAGUUUUAGUUAUGUUCCUACUUACUAAAGAGUAAUUUAAAGAGAAAUUUUAACCAUGAAUUUUCAUGAAUAAACAUGAAGCAGAUAGGUAGAGCAAUAACUAUAGGCCUACACAAACAAGGCACUUAUAUUAAAUCAUUUAUAUAUAAAACAUGUAAUCAUUCCAUGUAUGUUAUAUUAGUAAUAUUUCUAUUAUAGGGAUAACUAUAAUAACAUACAGCAAAAACAUAUAUAAAUAUUUAUUUUCAAUAUAAAUUUCUGCCUCAUGUUGGCCAUUUUAGAUGUUUUUAACAAACCAAACAACUUGGAAAUCAUGUGCAACUCAAGUUAUGUUGAAUCAAAAGAGCAUUUCUGCCUUUUCCACUGAUGUAAAAUUGCUUGGUCAACUUUGUAAUAGGUGGUCUCACUCACAGUGAGCCUGUUUAGCCAAGUUAGACAGCUGAUAAACACAGCACAUCCACAGAGACCGUCACUUAAACAAAAAAGAAAUGCUGUCAUACAAAAAAAUAAAAUCUGGAUUGUUGUCUCAGCCUUGAUAACUCGCGCAAAGCAACUCAAAGUUAGCAAUUGCGUCCGCAAAUAGCCAUGUAACAACCGUGCUGCAUGAUUAAGUCUUUUUUUUCUCAAAGAAAAGCUGGCAUUUCAAUAUGUCCAAGCAUCCCAACUCAUAGCCAAGUUAUCAAGGUAUGUAAUAAACAAAACCGUUUGUAAAUCUGUCAAGAUUUCAGUGAGUUAAGAGAAUUUUUGAUCAUGCAACUUACUCACUCUCUGUCAGCUACCAUGCAAUGUAACAGAAUGGUGUACUGAAGUAAGAUGGCCGCCGUGAACGGACGCCGGUGGCUACUUCUCAAUUCAUCUAGCCUUUCUUAUAUAUGUCUAUGGCUUCUCAAUCAAUACCGUAACUCCUUGAAAGUUUGAUCAAUCAGAAAAAUUCCAAUGCUGACAGAAAGGUGAGAAUCUGUGCUUUCUGUCAUCAUAUGAUGUAUGGUAUAUAUUACGGUAAUCUUGAACGGUACCAUCAAAACCGCACCUUCUUUGACGGAGCGAGGGAGAAAAAGAGAGCGAAGUAAGACAGAGCAAGCAACAGCUGACAAUUCCAUAUAAUUUGCAGUAAUCACCAACCAGAUGUUGAAAAGUGAGGCUCAAUUACUCCUAGAAAAAGGGACCAAAGCUCUCAGACUUUGGGGCAUUUUCUGACCAUUUUACUGCCAUAAUAACCAAAAUAUCUCCAAAUCGCUAUUAGUAGGGAGGCUAUUUUUCUUGUUACAGAGUUAUCCUUCCUGUUCUCUGCACUUUAUUAAGCAUUCCUUUAUUUUCAACAAAUACCCUGGACUGUAUGACUGAUCUGCAGUGCUUAUGGAAGAGGAUGAAUGUUUCUCAGUUUUUCUGAUUUUCAAGGAGAGCAGAAUAAAUCAACUGCAGUAGAUUAAAAAGUUGUAUUGUUGGAAAACAACAUCUGAGAAUAGUUAUCAAUGUAGUCCAUGUACUUAGCUUAUCCUCUGAAUUUUUGCUGUUUCACAUUGCUGUUUGGCAGAGGUAGCUGACAUAAAUUGAUACAAAUGACUUAAUUUCAUUUUUUUUUAUUGCAAACAAGCAGCAGCAUUUUCUAAAAAAAAUCAGUGACCUACUUUAAAGAGCUAACUAAAACAUUUGACUGUAAAUAUAUAUUUAAUUUUUGUUAAACAAUACAUAAAGACAUGCUUUGGAAUUGCAAGUUUUAUCCUGUUCACUAUAUAAAAAGAGCACAGCUUUUCAAACACUACAGACUUAAACACUGAAGUUAUGCCAGGACUGAAUCCAUUCCUUGCUUACACCAGGAUUACCCACGUACAGGACCCUGAAAAGCAGCGGAGAGAAGCUCCAGUACUGUCAGACCUUCAGACAGGACAAAUAUUACAGACAAAGUCUAAUUGUUAUGAAAAUCUCAUUUUAUUUUCUCAUAGGAUCUUCAUGAUGCAGACUCCUUGGACAUCCUAGUAGGCAUUCUCUGCUUUGAGGAAAGUGGGACCCAAAAUCAUAUAUUAUUUUAUGUUUAUUGUGGCUGUUGCUACGCCCUGUUUUGGGCAAAUGUCAAUAAAGUUUAAUGACAACUUUUGGUGUAAUAUAUUUUUGAGUUGGCAUAGCUUAAAAUUUUGAGUUUAGUGAAAGUCAAAUACAGCUAAAUGCACGUGAUAAAAUUAGUUAUUGUCACUUUAAAUAGUGAGUUGAAUACGUAUGAAUUUUAAU
RNAcentral lists this long non-coding RNA (2925 nucleotides) under Xyrichtys novacula (pearly razorfish). Lineage: Eukaryota; Metazoa; Chordata; Actinopteri; Labriformes; Labridae. The record is from RNAcentral.